RNAcentral lists this long non-coding RNA (407 nucleotides) under Homo sapiens (human). Its description in RNAcentral is "non-protein coding lnc-MINOS1-1:2". The record is from RNAcentral. Lineage: Eukaryota; Metazoa; Chordata; Mammalia; Primates; Hominidae.
ACACCGAUGCCCGCCCUUCCCUCGCUGGCUCCUAGGCGGCCUCCCUAGAAGCGGCAACUGAGAAGGCACAGCACCGGGACCACCCCAUCCCUGAUGGAGAGCUCCCCUCGCUCCCCAAAGGCUGCAAAGAAGGCGCGCCCCAGAGACAGGAUCUCCCUAUGUUGCCCAAGCUGGUCUCAAACUCCUGGACUCAAGCAAGCCUCCUACCUCGGCCUCCUGAAGUGUUGGGAUUACAGGCAUGAGCCACGGUGCACAGCAAGAGCUUUAACCUUAAUGACCAUUCAUUCUCUACCCCACAUUACCUACAACUGAUACAGCAUGCGAAGAGGGUCUUUGCUUACCCUUCACCUUCCACCAUGAUUGUAAGUUUCCUGAGGCCUCCAAGCCAUGAUUCCUGUUAAGCCUGC